GACGAACGCUGGCGGCGCGCCUAACACAUGCAAGUCGAACGAGCGAGCGAGAGCUUGCUUUCUUGAGCGAGUGGCGAACGGGUGAGUAACGCGUGAGGAACCUGCCUCAAAGAGGGGGACAACAGUUGGAAACGACUGCUAAUACCGCAUAAGCCCACGGUGCCGCAUGGCACAGAGGGAAAAGGAGCAAUCCGCUUUGAGAUGGCCUCGCGUCCGAUUAGCUAGUUGGUGAGGUAACGGCCCACCAAGGCGACGAUCGGUAGCCGGACUGAGAGGUUGAACGGCCACAUUGGGACUGAGACACGGCCCAGACUCCUACGGGAGGCAGCAGUGGGGAAUAUUGCACAAUGGGGGAAACCCUGAUGCAGCGACGCCGCGUGGAGGAAGAAGGUCUUCGGAUUGUAAACUCCUGUUGUUGGGGAAGAUAAUGACGGUACCCAACAAGGAAGUGACGGCUAACUACG
RNAcentral lists this ribosomal RNA (464 nucleotides) under uncultured bacterium. Its description in RNAcentral is "partial 16S ribosomal RNA". It matches the Rfam family "Bacterial small subunit ribosomal RNA", at positions 28 to 505 of the family's 1533-position model. The record is from RNAcentral.